GGCUUCAUUCUUUAUUUUUUUCCAUAUCUGUUAUACUUCACAAUGAAACCUAUCAAUUGCAAACACAACAUUUAUAAAGAUAGAUAUAUUAUUUGAAAAAUAAUGUCACCAACGCAAAUUGAAAGUAAUGCAUAUUAAGGGCUAACACAAAGUACGCUUAAAAGAUAAACUUCAAAUAUUUGACAAACGAAGGGCUCAAAUGUUUCCUUGAAGCAGGAAAGAGAAGCUACGGUGGUGGAAGGAUGAACGAAUCUUAAUUUCAUUAGUACUUGUAAGGUAAAAGUACAAAUCUAACUACGUAACACAAUUUUUGAAUCAACAUACAAGAUGAAUGUUUAAUUACAAUUUGAAAAGCAAAUCAAAAAACGCGUAAGACUAUAACCUGUGAGAAAUAUAAUCCUAUCUUAAAGCAGGAAAUUGUAACUCAGAGAAAUCAAAAUCGUCCAAUUGCAGCCUCUUCUCCAUCUCCACUUCAACAGUAAAGCAAACUAUUCAAGUUCUCCGACAUGAAAACAAUUCUUUCCAAUGAGUUGCGCCACCAAUAAUAGCGCCACAUUUUUCAACACCGCCGGAUCUUACCGCGAAAUUGAAAGCAUAGCGCCGGACUGGCAGUGUUGCUUUGUUAGAGAAGGGAAAGAAUGAGGAGGAUAUUUGGGGAAAAAAUUAAGGGAAAUAACUAAAAAGUCGGGGCAAAUGACAUAUAGAAUAAGUUACUAUUGUUAUGAAACUAUAUACAUUUAGAAGAAGAAGAAAGUAGGGAGAAGAGAAAAGACUUCUUAUUUCUCUUGAAGUAUAUUCAGGUUUCAUAGAUCUUUCACAAAUCUUAUUUACAAUGAAGGAAAACCAUUUAUUUAUAGAGAAAACCUUACUUGGUCCCAAAGUAGGAAUCUUAACCAUAUCCUACUAGGAAUACAAAUUGUUUAUAACACUCCCCCUUGAAUGUCGGUAGAUUAUGUACCUCGUUAAAACCUUACUAGAUAAAACCCAAUAGUAAAAAAAAUCAAGUGAAGGAAAAAGAGUACACAUGUCUAACCAUAUGCAUUAUGGAUGCCUUAUUAAAAAACAUACACGGAAAACCUAGUGGGACAAAACCUUGUGAGGAAAAAAGAGUACAUCGCGUAUUAACUCCCCCUAAUGACAACAUCAAUUCAUAGACUAGAAUCUUUGUUUUCCAAGCUUGUGCGCCAUCUUUUUGAAAAUUGUAGUUGGUAGAGACUUGGUGGAUAAAUCAACAAUAAUAUUACUUGAAUAGACCUCUUCCAUGUUGAUGUCACCAUUCUUGGGAGCUGAUGAAUGUAGAAAAACCUGUACGAAAUAUGUUUUCUUCUAUACGCUUUUACAAAUCUUCCCUUCAGGGUCAAAGAUUUCUGCAAGUUCCUUACAUUAACUUCUUUAAACAAAUAAUCUAUUGCCAAGAGUUUCAAUUCUAGUCAUCAACUUGCAUAAUAAUACUUGUAUAUGCUCUAUGUAUUUUGAAUUUAUUUAAUCCUUAUGUGGAUGAUAAACAAGUCUUCCAAAAACUUGUAUAUGCUUUAGAUUUUGAACCCAUUCGAUAUUUUCAUAUCAAUUUUGUCAAGUAAAAACAUUUAAUAUUAAAUGUAUGAUAUCUUCUAGUGCCUAGAUUGCAAGUCAAAUAAGCUUUAAGCUUACCAAGAUGCAUCAUUCCACUUUUCACUUGAUAAUUAUUUUUAUACAAGCAUGCUUUAAUAGAUGUAGAAUUCAUAUACUCAUAAUCUUUUACAAUAUUGCGUGCUAUUAUAAUAAAAAUAUCGUCAACGAUAUACGAUUUUGCAUUGAUUCACAAUAUGACAAACUUAUUGAGAUCUCAUCACUUCAUUAAUUUUAGGUAGCUACCCCUCUCAUAAGGUUUCACAAAGUGUUAUGUCGUAGGCUCCCCAAGAGCACAUUAUCUUCUUAUUAUGAUCAUUUUGAUCCUUUGAUCCUCUCCCUUAUUCAAAGAUUAUUUUAUUUAGAAUUGAUUAGUCUAUCAUGCUUCAUGCAUGUCAUAGACUCUAUUGUACAUUCAAUAGGAGUUUUUACAACUUUUGUGUUGCUUCUAAUCUCCUUAAAGUUAGACAAACUAACAUAUAUCUCAAUCUUUUGGAAAAUUUAUCUUUGUGCAUCAUAGUUUAUUGAUGUAUUUAUAUACCACAUAUCAAAGUAUAUUCAUCAAUCAAAUAUUGUAAAUCAAAAUUAUAAGAUGAACACUAUUUGGUCCUUGACCAUAAACCAAUUAACAGAAAAAUUAAUCAUCACUUAUUGGUUUGAUUCAUACAAUUACGUUUGUAUGUAAUAUCAUAUUUCAAAUCAACACAUUAUACUUUAUUUUCAUAAGCAAUGAUUCACUAAAUGUGACAUUUAAGGUCACAUCAUCUUAUAUAUUUAUCAAUAUUAUCAAGGUGAAUUAUCUUGAUUUCAUAUUAUGAAAUUGUGCUCUUAUCUCAAUUAUUUUUGCACAAACAAUUUUGUGAAAGUCAAACUACAUGUUGACAACAAACGUACACGUAAUUAUCUUAUAAAUGCAUCUUUUUAUCAUAUCACAUGAUAGCUGAACGGGUCCAUAUUCACCUUUCAUACUUUUCAGGAUUUAGGGAUUUAGUCCCAACUUUAGUUGAUCCAAUCAACUUUAUCACGAGAACAAGCAACGUAAUUUUUUUUUGAGGAAUCUUCUAGUUUUUCAAUGUAUGUCCAUUACUCAGUAUGCACGUCUUUGGGAUAACCAAAUUAUUCAUGCCAACUAAUAAAAUUAUCAGUACUCGUAAACUCCAAGUUUACUACGUCAUGUGCCUUUUGCUUUAGUAAAUUUUUGAUUUACUAUUAUAUGAGUAAAAUUAACUUUAUUACUUCAAGAGUAAUUUUCAGAUUUAUUUCUUCUCAAUUACUUUACCCUUUAGGUGAGUCGUGAUCCCAUCAUUGAAUGAACUAAUCUGAAGAAAAUUGUGCAUGUAACAUAUUAUUUGUGCCAACAUUUUUUCAAAAAUCAAGUUACGAGAUAAUAAUUGGCACACAUGAGACCAUAUAGAAGAAAAAUUUAUUAGGACCAUUAAGUCUAAACAAUCCUCUAAGUGGAUGACUAGGUCCACAAAUAUUUGAUACGUUCCUAGAACGCAGAGAAUUCAAUCUCAACUUUCGUUUAUGAUUGUGUCACAAUUAGCUUGUCUUGAUAACAAUCAUUACAAGAAAACUCACCAUUUAAAAGAAUUUUCAGGUUCUUCAAUGGAUGUUUAUUUUAAUUUUUCAUAAUUCGUCUAAAUUUUAUAGGCUAACAUUGUCCUAGAAAAACGUAUCAAAUUAAGAAAGUAUUGGAAUUAGUAAAUUUCUUAUUUGCCAUAGAAUGUGCCUCAAUUGUACUAAUUCUUGUCCAAUACAAUCUUGAAGAUAAAACAUGAAAUUUUUCUAUAAUAAAUGUCUUCUUAGAGAUAGACAUUCUUGGUGAUACCACAUCAUUGAAGAAAGGUUGCUAUUUUUUUCACGUCUAGCAUGGUGGCUUAUCACCUCAUUAACUCUAAAGAAUGAAUAUGUAUUCUUACCAUUUAUCAAAGGCUUUCAUUCUUCAUGAAUGAAACACAAUCAUCUAAGUACAUCAAAUUUUGAUAACUUAGUAUCUCAUUCCAUACUCAUGUGCAUCAUUUAUGCACUGUUAUUUUCACUUUGGGGAAUGGAUCUACUUCAACGAGAUAUAUUUCAUGACUAAUUUUAUGAAAAAACUCAUUAUUUCCCUUAGUCAUCAUAAUAUCAUCAAUAUGGUGCAUUGAAACUCAAACCCAACGUCUUAUGCCAUAAAUCAAUGAGGGACUUGAAUAUAACAUCUUUCAUCACAAAGCAUCAACACUUCUGGUGUCUUACCCUCGUGGUGCGAUUGGACGUAGAUCCAUCGUCUUAUUCUCUUGGUGUGAUAUAACUUAAAUUCAUUGUCUUACCCACAAUGCGGCCCAACCUCAAGCCUUUGAAAAUAAUUAAAAUUUUAUCACUUUGAUGAUUAUUAAUAUGAUUAUAUAUUAUAAUUACACACAAAAUUGAGACUAAUGAUUUCUUAUAAUCAACAUUAGCAGUUAAUAGAUAUAGUUUAAUAGAUCGCAUACCUCAUAUAAAGGUUGAAAACAUAUCUUUCACUAAAUUGUGUUUAUUUAAUUACUAAAAUAAAUUAAGGAAUUCUCUUCCAGUCGGUUAAAAUUAAACGUAUAGAAAGUCGACAAGUCUCUUUAAAUACUUACUUUAGAUGGUACCUCCAGAUCUGUUACUUAAAUAAUUUUAACAUAAAGAUAAAUCAUACCUUGAUGAUAUAAGAACCUUAUUGCAUAAUGCAAGAUCUCUUUUGCACUUUUCCCGUCUUUCUUCAUAAUUCUAUAAGAAGAACAAUCGUGCUGAUAACAUGUUAUGAAACUAUAUAAAUUUAUUAGAAGAAGAAGAAAGCAGGGAGAAGAUAAAAGACUUCUUAUUUCUCUUGAAGUAUAUUCAGGAUUCAUAGAUCUUUCACAAAUCUUAUUUACAAUGAAAGAAAACCCUUUAUUUAUAGAGAAAACCUUACUUGGUCACCAAGUAGGAUUCCUAAUCCUACUAGGACUCCACAUGAUUAGACAUUCACUUUAGUACAUAUUAUUCAUAACAAGUAUGUUAUUUUAGGGAAUUUUAAUUUUGACGAUUAUGGCAGUUACGACUCCUUAAAUUGACUAAAUAAACUGGAGGGGUUACUCAAACCUCCACAAUGUAAUGUAAAUUAUUGAGAUGAUAUUACCCUCCACAGUAAAACCCCCAGAAUUUGGGGCUUAUUUUGUUGUGUUAGUCUCUUGGCAAUAGUACUUGUAUUUAGUUAUGACUAAAAAAAUUCAUGGCUAUAACAUGAAGUAUAUGCCACAAGUAUUUUUGAAUUUUAACUAAAAAUUUAUAUCUUUAGCCAUGAAAUAUAUAUAAUUUUAGCUAAAAAUUCAUUUGCUACAGAAAGUCAAAAUUUAUAUGCAUAUUUUUAUUUACAUGAUAUAUAUAGAAAAUUUGUUGCAUUUAAUAUAUAAUUAUAUUAUGAUUAGAGAUUAUUUUGCAAGCUUUUUUACUUCCAUGAGAUGCAUAAUGUAGCUAUGGAUUAAUAUUUAAGAUUUCAAAACACUUCCAAAAACACAUAUAAUAACAAUUUACAAUUUUAAAAAUAUUUAUAAUUAGAUAUAACUCUUGUAAUACACUAUCUUGUUUGAGUACAAAGUGAUAUGUGUUAUGAUCGAAUUCACGCACACACACCAGAUGAAUGAAGAACACAAAGAACUUUCAAGAGAAAGAGAUGAGAAAUCUAGACAGGGAGAGAGAAAACCCAAUAUUUCGUGGUAAAACCCCGUGAGUUAACUCCACGGCGGUGAGGUAUAUUUAUAUUAAUAAUCAGACUAUUUUUGGUUACAAAGAAUAAAUAGGAAAACCUAAAAUAGAGAACAAAUAGGAAAACCUAAAAUAGAGAAUAAAUAGGAAAACCUAAAAUUAAUCAGGCUCCACUACCUAACAAUUCUCCCACUUGGAGACUGACUCAGUCAUCCAAAAAAUACAUUCUCAAAAAAAAUCUCUUCAUCAUCAACAUCUUUACCGCACCGCAACAUCUGUAGCAACAACUACAAAAGACCAACCGAGGUUUUACAUAACCUCAGUUUCCCAACAUCAACACAUUUCAUCAACAUGUCUGCCAGGUUCUUUGCACCCUCUAUCUUCUCCAAGCACAUAUCACCAUCCUCCACAGCCCUGCGAGUGAAAUGGUAUCGCCUUCUGAUGUGCUUUGUCUUCGAAUGAUAGACAGGAUUUUUCACCAACUGUAUGUCACUCUGGCUAUCUGAGUAAAGAAUCUUCUCGCUCUGCUUCUUGCCCAAUUCCUCAAGAUAAUCUGCCAGCCAUAUCAUCUCUUUCCUAGCUUCAGCUAUUGCCACAUACUCAGCUUCAGUAGAUGAAAGAGAAAUACACUUCUGAAGUCUGGACAUCCAACUCACUGCUGUUCCACCUAUGGUGUAAAUGUACCCGGAUGUACUCUUGCUCGAGUCAACAUCCCUACCAUGAUCAGCAUCCACAAAACCCUGAAGAGUCACCUUGCCUUUGCUAAAACAAAGUGAAGUACUGGAUGUACCUCUCAGAUAUCUCAGAAGCCACUUCACAGCUUCCCAAUGCUCUUUCCCACGGUUCGCCAUGUACCUGCUAACAACUCCCACUGCAUGUGCUAUAUCAGCUCUAGUGCAGACCAUAACAUACAUCAAACUACCAACUGCUGAAGCAUAUGGAACAAGUAUCAUGUGAUCACGCUCCUCGGCAGUCUUGGGUGACUGCUCCUUUGACAAUUUAAAGUGAUUUGCCAAUGGAGUAGUCCUGGGUUUAGCAUCAUUAACCUUCAAUCAGCUCAGCACCUUCUCAAUGUACAACUCCUGAGAUAGAUUUAAAGUGCCAGCAUAUCUAUCCGAGAAAUCUUCAUCCCCAAAAUCUGCUUUGCUGGACCCAAAUCUUUCAUCUCAAACGCUGCAGACAACCUUGUCUUCAGAUUGUUAAUCUCCCUCAUACUAGAUCCUGCAAUCAACAUAUCAUCCACAUACAAGAGUAGAAAGACAUAUUAAUCAGUGUAUUUCUUGAAGUAACAACAAGGAUCCUUUUCAGCUUUGCAGAAUCCACUCUUGCUCAUGAAGGAGUCAAACUUCUUUUACCACUGCCUUGGUGCUUGCUUUAGUCCAUACAAACUCCUGGUGAGCUUGAACACCAUGUGUUCCUUGCCUGGAACCACAAAUCCUUCCGGUUGCUGCAUAUAGAUCUCUUUGUCCAGAUCUCCAUGUAAAAACGUUGUUUUUACAUCCAUUUUCUCUAGAUGCAAAUUUUCCGAUGCAACAAUACUCAACAGAAUUCAAAUAGAGGUUAACUUCACAACAUGAGAGAAUAUUUCAGCAUAAUCAAUACCUUUCCUUUGUGAAUAUCCUUUAACCACUAAACGAGCCUUGAACCUUCUUUUGCCAUCUAGUUCAGUCUUGAUUCUGAACACCUACUUGUUUAGCAAAGCUCUCUUCCCUGCAGGUAACUUAGUCAACACCCAUGUGUCAUUCUUCUCAAAUGACCUCAUCUCAUCAUCCAUGGCUUGCUCCCACUUGAUCGAAUCCUCCACCUGUAGGGCCUCAUCAAAAGACUCUGGUUCCCCCUCAUCAGUCAGCAAUAGAUAGUGUAAUGAAGGUGAAUGCCUAUCUGGUGCCCUAAUGGAUCUGGAUGAUCUCCUUAACACUUGAUCAUGUGUAACUUGCUCCACUUCAGAUUCUUCAGUAGGAGUUGGUUGAGUAUUUGCUUCGACAUCUCUGGGUUACUCUUCUCCAACUCAACCUCAACUCCCACUUGCUUUGUAAUCUCUAGAACCUUCUGCUCUCUGUCCUUAUACAAGACAGACUCAUCAAAUAUCACGUCACAAUGUCUCAGGAUCUUUCUGUUCUUGUCAUCCCAAAACCUGUAACCAAACAAAUCAGAACCAUAUCCUAUGAAGUAACACUUCACAGCCUUGGCAUCAAGCUUGUAUCUCUUUUCUGGAUCAACAUGAACAUAAGUUGUACAACCAAAAGUCCUCAAGUGUGAGUACUUGAGUUCUUUUCCUGUCCACACCUCCUCUGGAAUCUUGAACCCUAAAGGAACUGAUGGUCCCCUGUUGAUCAAGUAUGCAACUGUGCUCACAGCAUCCGCCCAAAGUGUUUUGGGCAGCCCACAGUGUAUCCUCAUCUCCUUGCACGCUCAUUCAAUAUUCUGUUCAUCCUCUAAGCAAUUCCAUUCUGCCUUGCCUUACCAGGAAUUGUUCUCAUCAAUCUUAUUCCCUCAGCUGCAUAGAAUGUCUUGAACUCUGAUUUGUCAUACUCUCCUCCAAUGUCAGACCUUAGGCAUUUGACUUUCAAACCAGUCUGAUUCUCAACUUCAGCUUUCAACUUCUGAAAAGUUGCAAAGACAUCUGAUUUAUGCUUCAAAAAGUAAACUGAUACCUUCCUGCUGAAAUCAUCAAUGAAGGUAACAUAGAAUCUGGAUCCUCCAAGUGAUGAUACUGGAGAUGGUCCCCAAACAUCUGUAUGGACCAUUUCCAACUGCACUUUAUUUGGCUCUCUAGGAGUCUUUGUGAAGCUUACUCUUUUCUGUUUGCCCGUAACACAGCUCUUGCAAAGACCCAUAUCAACAGACUUCAGACCCUCUAAUGAUCCUUUUGCAACCAGCAUCUUCAUUCCUUUAGUACUCAUGUGUCCAAGUCUGUUGUGCCACAGACAUGAACCGGAAGCACCUUCAGCAACAGCGGUCAUGUUUAUUCACCCUGCAGUGGUGUACAAGGUUCCAGAUUUGGUGUCACGAGCUACUACCAUAGCACCUUUGACGAUCUUCCACGAACCUUUCCCAAACUCUGCUGCAUAUCCCGUGCUAUCCAACUGACCAACAGAGAUUAAAUUUUUCUUGAUCCUAGGAAUAUAUCUGACAUCCUCCAAUGUCCACUGGUUUCCCGAGGUGGUCUUUAUGCAAACAUCCCCUUUUUCUUCAAUCUCUAAGGCUUUAUUGUCAGCAAGAUAUACUUUUCCAAAAUUUCCAGAUUUAAAAUUUUGGAACAACUCCUUGCUUGGAGACGAAUGGAAAGAUGCACCAGAAUCCAAAAUCCAUGAUUCAACCGGGCUGUUCACACUAAGGAUUAGAGCAUCCCAAUGUCCUCUGCUUAAUUUACAGAAUCAUUGUCAUCUCCAAAUUUCUGAUUCUGUUUCUUCUUUGGCUUUGUACAGUUCAUCCGAAAGUGUCCUUUUUCUCCACAGUUCCAACAAGUCACGUUUGAUCUGUUCAGUGAUUUUCCUCGAUUCUUUGAUUUUGAUCGACCAUGUUGAUUUUUCCCUUUCGUCUUACUUCUUCCCCUUCAAUCAACGCUGAGAGCACUGCCCGAUGAAUCUCCCACUUUUUGUUUCCGAAUACUUUCGCAAAGAACAACAUCACGGAUUUCAUCAAACUUGAGUUUCUCAGAUCCACGGGAACUGCUAAUCGCAGUAACAACAGUAUCCCAAGACUCGGGCAGAGAUGACAUCAAAAUCAACGCCUUAAUUUCAUCUUCGAAAUUAAUAUCCACACAAUUAAGUUGACUCACAAUCAUAUUGAACUCGUUUAUAUGAUCAGAAAUGGAUCCAUUCUCAGAUAUCUGUAAAUUGAACAAUCUACGCAUUAAAUAUACCUUGUUCAUAGCCGAUGAUUUUUCAUACAUGUUUGACAGUGCCUUCAACAGACCGGACGUAGUCUUCUCCUUCACGAUAUUGAACACCAUGUUUCUUGACAAAUUCAACCGGAUCAACCCUAGAGCCUGGCGAUCCUUGAGUUUCCACUUCUCCUCCGUCAUGGAUUACGGCUUCACCCCUGUCAACGGUUCGUGAAGAUCUUUCUGGUACAGAUAAUCUUAGAUCUGCAUCUUCCAGAAACAGAAAUCGGAUCCAUCAAACUUCUCGAUUCCAAGCUUUGAACUAUCUAUCUUUAGUGAUCGUUUUGAAUCUCCUUAGCUCUUAUACCAGUUGUUAGGAUCAAAUUCACGCACACACACUAGAUGAAUGAAGAACACAAGAAAUUUCAAGAGAAAGAGAUGAGAAAUCUAGAGAGAGAGAGAGAGAAAACCCAAUAUUUCGUGGUAAAACCCCGUGAGUGAACUUCCACGGCGGUGAGGUAUAUUUAUAUUAAUAAAUCAGAGUAUUUUUGGUUACAAAGAAUAAAUAGGAAAACCUAAAAUAGAGAACAAAUAGGAAAGUCUAAAAUAGAGAAUAAAUAGGAAAACCUAAAAUUAAUCAGGCUCCACUACCUAACAAUAUGCUCUUCUCUUAUUUCUCCUUCCACAACGUUCAACUGAAUCUUAGCAUAUUUACACGGAUCUUGUCAUUUAUAUGCCUUAACUCCAUUAAUAUACAUGUCAAAAUGAUGUACUUCCUCCGUUUUAAAAUAAAUGAUAUAGUUUGACUUGAAAUGGAGUUUAAGAAUAGAGAGAAGGCUUUUUAAUUUUGUAGCUCUAAAUUAAAGUUACGUCAAAUAUACUAAAAUAUCCUUUAAUCUUGUGGUCUUAAACAUGUUACGUGAAAUGUCAAAGUUAAAGUGUUGCCAAAUAAAAGGAAAGGGAUCAUUCUUUUUGAAACAAACUAAAAAGAAAUAGGACAAUUAUUUUUGAAACAGAACAAUUAUUUUUUUAGCAUAAAAGAUCAUUACCAACUAAUUGUAGACGAGUGUUUGUAUGCAUAUUAUUUCAAGAAGAAAACAUAUUUAUUUAUAUAUAUCACCAACUAAAAGAUUUGGUAGAAAUAAGAAGAAUGCAAGAAGAAACAAAGUACACAAACUUAUAAAUUUUUUACUUUGUAAAUGAAUCUUCACCUCAAUUGUGACAUUUCUUGCGGUCAGCGAAUUAUGACUCCUCUCAACACUAUUCAUUCUUUAAAUCUUCACAAUCUGCUCAUAAAUAAGAUGUAGUUAUUUUUUAAAAGAUCUGAAAUAAUCUAAACCCCAAAAACUAAGUUAAAUAAGCAAAACAUAUAUUGAAAAAUUAUAAAUAAGAAGAUAUGAACAUACCUUGAAUAUAAAAAACCUAGCGACAAAAAGAAAAAAGUUAAUCAGCAAAACAUUCUACAUAAAAAAGUUUUAACUUAAACAAGAAAAUGAGAUAAAGAAGAGAGGGGAGGCGAUGAGUAAGGAAAUUUGAUGGUAGGUUUUCUAAUUUGCCUUAAAAGUUUUGCAGGGAAAUUUAACCUUUUUUUUACUUUUGAAUUUUUUUGGGAUAUAU
This 10744-nucleotide long non-coding RNA is filed under the name Solanum lycopersicum (tomato). Its description in RNAcentral is "long non-coding RNA (SLYC_LNC000035)". The record is from RNAcentral. Lineage: Eukaryota; Viridiplantae; Streptophyta; Magnoliopsida; Solanales; Solanaceae.